UGAACGCUGGCGGCGUGCCUAAUACAUGCAAGUCGAGCGGUAAGGUUCUGCACUUAGUAUUUGACCCCUGAAAGUCCUUUUAUGGAUACUACAGAGAAGAAUUGAUUCCUGGCUAAGAAUCAUAGUCGAAUGUUGAGUGUAGAAUACACGAGCGGCGGACGGCUGAGUAACACGUAGGAACGUACCCCAAACUGAGGGAUAAGCACCAGAAAUGGUGUCUAAUACCGCAUGUGAUCUUCGGAUUAAAGCUUCGGCGGUUUGGGAACGGCCUGCGCCUGAUUAGUUUGUUGGUGAGGUAACGGCUCACCAAGACUACGAUCAGUAGGUGGUCUGAGAGGAUGACCACCCAGACUGGGACUGAGAACGGCCCAGACUCCUACGGGAGGCAGCAGUAGGGAAUUUUCCACAAUGGACGAAAGUCUGAUGGAGCAACGCCGCGUGCAGGAUGAAUGCCUUCGGGUUGUAAACUGCUUUUACCUGUGACGAAUAUGACGGUAGCAGAUGAAUAAGGAUCGGCUAACUCCGUGCCAGCAGCCGCGGUCAUACGGAGGAUCCAAGCGUUAUCCGGAAUUACUGGGCGUAAAGAGUUGCGUAGGUGGCAUCGUAAGUUAAUAGUGAAAGCGUGAGGCUCAACCUCAUAAACAUUAUUAAAACUGCGGAGCUAGAGAAUGAGAGAGGUCGCUGGAAUUCCCUGUGUAGGAGUGAAAUCCGUAGAUAUAGGGAGGAACACCGAUGGCGUAGGCAG
RNAcentral lists this ribosomal RNA (745 nucleotides) under uncultured soil bacterium. RNAcentral describes it as "bacterial SSU rRNA". It matches the Rfam family "Bacterial small subunit ribosomal RNA", at positions 30 to 724 of the family's 1533-position model. The record is from RNAcentral.